Molecule: transfer RNA, 71 nt
Filed under: Glyptotermes angustus
Lineage: Eukaryota; Metazoa; Arthropoda; Insecta; Blattodea; Kalotermitidae
Description: tRNA-Val
Source: RNAcentral
CAGGCUAAUUCCUGUUAGUGGGGUUUUCAUUUACGUUGAAUUUUUUUGUCGUGCAAUUCGAUAUUGUCUGA